Molecule: ribosomal RNA, 453 nt
Filed under: uncultured bacterium
Lineage: Bacteria
Description: bacterial SSU rRNA
Rfam family: Bacterial small subunit ribosomal RNA
Source: RNAcentral
GAUGAACGCUGGGGCCUGAAGAAAAGAGGGACAUGCAAGUCGAGCGAACCCUUCGGGGUGAGCGGCGGACGGGUGAGUAACGCGUGGGUAACCUGUCCUGUACACACGGAUAACAUACCGAAAGGUAUGCUAAUACGAGAUAAAAUGUAAUGAUCGCAUGGUCGAUACAUCAAAGCUCCGGCGGUACAGGAUGGACCCGCGUCUGAUUAGCUAGUUGGUGAGGUAAUGGCUCACCAAGGCGACGAUCAGUAGCCGACCUGAGAGGGUGAUCGGCCACAUUGGAACUGAGACACGGUCCAAACUCCUACGGGAGGCAGCAGUGGGGAAUAUUGCUCAUUCUCUUGAAAGCCUGAUGCAGCAACGCCGCGUGAGCGAUGAAGGCCUUCGGGUCGUAAAGCUCUGUCCUCAAGGAAGAUAAUGACGGUACUUGAGGAGGAAGCCCCGGCUAACUAC